Micropterus dolomieu (smallmouth bass) is the source of this 1995-nucleotide long non-coding RNA. RefSeq lists it as uncharacterized. The transcript is spliced from 4 exons. Lineage: Eukaryota; Metazoa; Chordata; Actinopteri; Centrarchiformes; Centrarchidae. The record is from RefSeq and is a predicted model, not a curated record.
AUUCGGUGAGGAGUUGGACUCGGACCGAAGUGAUGAGAGUAAAAAUACCUACUGUGGCAGACUUGAAGAUAUCGCAUCAGUCCACUUCGGCAGGACAGUGAAUCCUGCUGUUUUACAAGCAGGGGGUGAAGGAAAUGUUCUGAACAACGCGCACCGGCUUUGUGUGGACCAUCUGUCAUUGUAUUGACAUACAGCAGCCCUCCUGCCCCCAAAGAAUCCGAGCGAGACACCUGAAGAGCAGAAAACAGACAGCGGAUCGUUCAGAGCCGCCACCCGUCUCUCACAAAGCCGUGACUCAUGCUGUGAUCUGUCUGUGUGGAUGGGUGUUCCUGAUGCUGACUUGUGACUCCAUGAAGAUCAUAUCCAUCAGAUGCUGUUACGACCAAUUUUGAGCUGGAGAUGAAAGGACUUCAAGUUCCUCUGAUUAAUGAGGAGGUGGUAAUGCAACAAAGCAGAUUGUCUCAGUUUAUGUUCCAGCUUAAAAGCACCACAUGAUCAUGUAUAAUAAAACCAGAGCCAUCUUAACCUUUGGACAGUUGACUCAGUCUGCCACUGUCCUGCGUCAUUAUGUCCCUGUGCUGUGCGACCUGACCUCUGUGGUUUGAGCGACGUCCUCAGCUCUGUCCCUGCCUCCCGCUUGUCUGACUUGUCUGUCCUCCCUCCUCUACGCCCUGCACGUGUCUGUCAGCUCGGCUCACGCUCACGCGCCGCUGUCCUGCUUGCCUCGGUGAACAUUCAACGCUGUCGGUGAGUUUGGUAUGGAUCACAUAAAAACCAUCGACCGUUGACUGUGCCCCGUGGCUUGCUCCGACGACGUCAGGAAAGAGCAGAAACGAACAAAAGGGCAAGUGGGCACAUGCUAAUCCAGAGACGAAGACAUACAGAUGCAUAAAAGUUAAACUCUGUUUCCACUGUGCCCAAAGACCAAAGGUCACAAUCAACAUUCAUUGCUGUCGCUGGGUUGGACUGUGUAGAAAAGCUCACUGAACAAUGAGUGCAACUGUGGCCCAGAUCUGCCUGACUCGUGUCUCAGCCAAUCAGCCGACCGGAUGUGAAGCACUCUGAUUUCUUUAUUUAUAUACUUCUUGUUUUUCACUUCUAUUUUCUCCACUCUUCCUCCCUCCCCGGUGCUGGGAGUCUUCAGGGGAAGAGAGAGAGAGAGAGACACAAAUAGACUUCUGGCUGCUUGCUUGUCCUCAUCCUCCUCUUUUCUCCUCUAAUUGGUGGUUAUGUGUGCAGCAAGGGGGAAGGAAGCGGAGUGAAUGUGUAAUCAUUUGGAGUCUCUUCUCCUUUAGAUGUUUCAUCCCUCUCUUUUUUGUUCGUCUAAUUAUAUACUGAGCUCGGUUAACUCUGUGUUCACUGUGCGUCCGUGCUGGGAAGAAUGAAGGAGUGACAGAGAGAGGGAGGACAAGGUGAAACAAAAAAGUAGAAAGAUUAUAGCACCAGCAAAAUGAUGAUCCUGUUUUUAGCAUAUUUUGUAUAAUAUAAUAAUCUUCCUGGUGUUGCUGCAAAUGUGCCCCGGAUAUAAGCAAUUUCCAAAUGCAGAAAGAAGAUUGUUUUCACCUUUCUGACUGAGCACAUCUCAUUAUUUGUGUUUGAGUUUCAUGAGACUGUCUGGUUUCCUGCCUGACUCUGUGCGCGCGUGUGUGUGUGUGUGUGUGUGUGUGUGUGUGUGCGUGCGUGCGUGCACGUAUGCCAUGACAGAGGACCUGUCUGGUGAUCUCAGAGUGCAAUAUGUUAUUUUCUUUCUAUACUAAAGCAGUCAGCUCCCUCAUUGGAAAACACAGUCUAUAACCUUGUCUUCCUUCAGACAGUCUGGGACCGGCCACGCUGCUGCCAUUUCUCAUUGCGCCCUUCUGUUACAACUCUUUGAUCUGUGUCUUUUAUCUGUAAUUCACGGCAUGUAAACACACAGCUCAUAUAUAUGUAGGAAUGUGCUUAAUGAAGUGCUGAUGUUUGCUGAGUUAAUUAAUUAAAUAAAGUUCAAUUAGACUG